Long non-coding RNA from Astyanax mexicanus (Mexican tetra), 1721 nucleotides. RefSeq lists it as uncharacterized. The transcript has 5 exons. The record is from RefSeq and is a predicted model, not a curated record. NCBI's taxonomy places the organism in Eukaryota, Metazoa, Chordata, Actinopteri, Characiformes, Acestrorhamphidae.
GGAGGGAUGAAGAGAUGAAGGGAUGGAAGGACCGAUGAUCCAGCCCUAAAGACGACGGACUGGCAGCACAGAGCGAAGACUGGCUGGCCUUCUGUUAAGUGUAGCUUAGAGCUGUUUUCCAUGAUUUCCCAGUGCUGGAGAUAAACUGGCAGCUUCUGCUCUUUCUGGAUCUGACUGGAUCUGUAAGAGUCUGGAAAAAGCUCCGGACUGAUAAAGGGAAAUGCUCGGUGCUGCUUUUAACCAUGAAGAUGAUGAUGAAGGUGGUGGAGGUGUGUAUGAUGAUGAUGAUGAUGAAGAAGUGCUGAACAUAGUCUCCAUGGCCUCAAACACAUGGAGCUUCGACAUGUGCCUAACAUACGACCACCUGCCCACCUCUCCGUCUGACCAGAACACAGAAGAGCACGGAGGACAUAAAAAGUGCCUGUGUGAGCUGCUCCAUUAUGAUUGCACUGUGAAAGGAGGUUGAUGCUAUCUUUGGUUAUCUAGCUGUAUGAGUGUUUCUAUGCCGUCAUAAAGCUAGAUAACCGAAAGUAGGAACGGCCUCCUCUGCUGCAGGACAGCAGCACACGCGCACGUGCCCGGUGGAGCCCCUGUAAGAUCACAGCUCCUCCCUGAUGCAGCGUCUCUGUGAGAGACCGGAGGACCAUUCACUGGAACAAAACCAUCUGACCAGCCCGCACCCCCCACCCCAUCCGACUCCCACCAUCAACGGAAGCGUUUAGUGCCAUGUGUGCCCCCAGAGAGGGGGCCGCGGGAAGGGGGAGAAAAAAGAAGAAGAAGACGACGACAAGCAAGAGGCUGCAGCUUGUGUGCCAGUGGGGACAAAGAGGCUGCUGCCAGUUGCCACGGACCACCCCCUCCACCCUCCACAAACCCCCAAGCCCACCCCCUCCACCCCCCAGAUGCUGAAGAUUGGAGCCCAGAACGAAAGGGUUGUGUGCGAGGAAGCCAUCUUGAUGGAGAAGCUGGCUGCCUGCUUCCUAAAAUGGCUGUGUUGGCAUGAGAACCAAGUUGAUGAUACCCUGCUUCGCUGUGCAGUUCCAUUGUUCCUGACCCAACGUCUUCCAUCAGUUCCAUCCGUUCCACACCUUCCAUCAAUUUGACCUGAAUGAAGAUGACUGGAUUGGCCACCACAACCUGCUCAAACCUAUUGGACAAUCAAAUGAACUGAACUGCAGUGCAAGUACUAUUAGAGGAAUGACAUAAGACGAAUUUGAGCAAAUCUUGGUACUUGAACCUAAUGACAAUCUAUAUAAAAACAUAUGCAUGCUUCAAGCUGCAUAUCGUUGUUCUACAAAGGCCAGGUGCGUUCAGACUGCAGAGCCCCGACCGACGAGAAUGUGCCUUAAUGUGUGAACUGUUUACAAUGAAAGAGUAGUGUGCGGCUAUUAAUAGAGUAGACGAUACUGUACAGUGAGUGCUAAUGAACGUGUGAGUCAUUUCUGUUCCGCUUCUGUUUUAAAUGUGCUUUUAAUGUCUCUCUGUGACUAAAUGAACUGUACGUCCUCCCAUGAUGAACAUUAUAUCCAUUAAAACUUGUCUUUCCUGUGAGGGAUCUCAAGUCAUACAGGAAAUGGUGCUCUUUGCUUAAUAAUCAGGAUAUUACUCGUAUUACUCUGGCACGUGUUAAAUACCCAAAUGAGGAGCUGAAAUCUCAUUCUCUGUGUGUUAAACAGCAAUGUAUGAAAUGGAAUCAAUAAAGGUGUGCAAUAUGAAAGUGA